This 433-nucleotide ribosomal RNA is filed under the name uncultured bacterium. RNAcentral describes it as "partial 16S ribosomal RNA". It matches the Rfam family "Bacterial small subunit ribosomal RNA", at positions 29 to 507 of the family's 1533-position model. The record is from RNAcentral.
AACGAACGCUGGCGGCAUGCCUAACACAUGCAAGUCGAACGAAAGCUUCGGGUCUAGUGGCGCACGGGUGCGUCACGCGUGGGAACCUGCCCUUAGGUUCGGAAUAACUCCACGAAAGGGGUGCUAAUACCGGAUCAUAUCUUCGGCCCAAAGAUUUAUCGAGUUUGGAGGGGCCCGCGUUGGAUUAGCUAGUUGGUAGGGUAAGAGCAUAUCACGGCGACGAUCCAUAGCUGGUCUGAGAGGCUGAUCAGACACUCUUGGACGGAGACACGGCCCAGACUCUUACGGGAUGCAGCAGAGGGGAAUAGUGGACAAUGGCGGGAGUGCUGACCCAGCAAGGCCGGGUGAGUGAUGAAAGUCGGAGGGUUGUAAAGUUCUUUUACCCGGGAUGAUAAUGACGGUACCGGGAGAAUAAGCGCCGGCUAACUACGUG